RNAcentral lists this ribosomal RNA (492 nucleotides) under uncultured bacterium. RNAcentral describes it as "partial 16S ribosomal RNA". It matches the Rfam family "Bacterial small subunit ribosomal RNA", at positions 29 to 507 of the family's 1533-position model. The record is from RNAcentral.
AGUGAACGCUGGCGGUAGGCCUAACACAUGCAAGUCGAACGGCAGCACAGUAAGAGCUUGCUCUUACGGGUGGCGAGUGGCGGACGGGUGAGGAAUACAUCGGAAUCUACUUUUUCGUGGGGGAUAACGUAGGGAAACUUACGCUAAUACCGCAUACGACCUACGGGUGAAAGCAGGGGAUAUUCGGACCUUGCGCGAUUGAAUGAGCCGAUGUCGGAUUAGCUAGUUGGCGGGGUAAAGGCCCACCAAGGCGACGAUCCGUAGCUGGUCUGAGAGGAUGAUCAGCCACACUGGAACUGAGACACGGUCCAGACUCCUACGGGAGGCAGCAGUGGGGAAUAUUGGACAAUGGGCGCAAGCCUGAUGCAGCCAUACCGCGUGGGUGAAGAAGGCCUUCGGGUUGUAAAGCCCUUUUGUUGGGAAAGAAAAGCAGCAGGUUAAUACCCCGCUGUUCUGACGGUACCCAAAGAAUAAGCACCGGCUAACUUCGUG